UACGUAGGUGGCAAGCGUUGUCCGGAUUUACUGGGCGUAAAGUGUGCGCAGGCGGCCGCGCAAGUCGAGUGUGAAAGCCCCGAGCUUAACUUGGGAAUUGCGCUCGAAACUACGUGGCUGGAGUGUGGCAGAGGAAGGUGGAAUUCCACGUGUAGCGGUGAAAUGCGUAGAGAUGUGGAGGAACACCGAUGGCGAAGGCAGCCUUCUGGGCCAACACUGACGCUCAUGCACAAAAGCGUGGGGAGCAAACAGG
Molecule: ribosomal RNA, 253 nt
Filed under: uncultured bacterium
Lineage: Bacteria
Description: partial 16S ribosomal RNA
Rfam family: Bacterial small subunit ribosomal RNA
Source: RNAcentral